ACUGUGGUAAUUCUAGAGCUAAUGCAUGCCGAAGGGCGCUGACCCCCUUCGUGGGGAAGAUGCGUGCAUUUAUCAGAUCAAAACCAACCCGGUC
Molecule: non-coding RNA, 94 nt
Filed under: Homo sapiens (human)
Lineage: Eukaryota; Metazoa; Chordata; Mammalia; Primates; Hominidae
Source: RNAcentral